This 6947-nucleotide long non-coding RNA is filed under the name Equus caballus (horse). Its description in RNAcentral is "lncRNA (ENSECAG00000056339.1)". Lineage: Eukaryota; Metazoa; Chordata; Mammalia; Perissodactyla; Equidae. The record is from RNAcentral.
GGCUUCCCAGCACCAGCAUGCAGGGACCACUCCAGGGGGUCCUAGUGGGGGCCUGAGGGGUUGAGGAGGGGAUGGGUCCCAAGAUCCCUGCCCAGAGUGAGCCCCAGUAGGACCCUGAGAAUUUGGUGUUGGAGGGGCACCAGGCUGAGGGAGGAGGGCCAGUCCCCAAGAGAAGACGGGGGGUCCACCCCCAGCUCCUUCCCUGCCCCUGCCUGCUGGAGGGCACCAAAAACACCUUCGACCUAGACCAGCUGGCUGUUUCAAAGCCCUUUCAGGCCCUGGACAAGGACAGAGGUCCCCAUUUUACUGAAACUCUUGUUUUCCACCAAAAUCAGUCAGCCUCAAUUCUUGAGGGUCCUCGGAGUCCCCCUGAAGAGCCUCAGAGGGAGGAGGCAUGGGGAGGGGUUACAGACCUGGAAGGCUGUGGACACUGUCCCCCCAGGGCUGGCACAUCUGAUCACCCCCCAGCCCUGAGCAGCUGCAAAGCACCACUUCCUCCCCUUCCCCCAGCCCUCCUCUGGGUCCCUCUCCCCCCCAUCCAGGUCCCAGAGAAAAGAGAGCCCCACCCCGCACGGCAUCCCACUUCCUGCAUCUGUCACCUGCGCCGCUCAGAUCCCUGUCCCCAAUGAGGAAGCAGAGGUGACUCCACCGCUGUGCUGGCUCCCCCCUCCCCCACCCCUGGUUCCGGGCACCUGACUCCACAUCAUUCAUCCUCAAGGCUGGCGCCUUUCCGUCAACGCCGAAGCCACCAAGACCCUCCGUGUUAACAUGAGCGCCCCGAGCUCGCCUCCCUGUCGGCCCCCUUUCCUCACGGCCACCCUCUAGAGAGAGAUGUCCACGCCCGGCUCCGCUUCCUCCUCCCUUCCUCCCUUCCUCAUUCCUCAGUCCCUGGCUGCCCUGCAACCGCUCAGAGCUCUUCUCUGCUGCGCCAGGUCCGCUCUGUCCUCCUCUUCCCUGCUCCCCCCGAGCGUCCACCUCUUCCGCAGUUCCUGUCCCCCUCGAAGCUCCCUCUGUCUGUCUGGGUCACACUGCUGGAGUUCUCCCUCUGCGAGUGGCAGACAGCGGGAUGGGGCAGAACGAGGGCACUGGCAUCAGACACCCUGGUUCAAAGAGGCCUCGCUGCCUGCCAGCUGGGCGGCCUUGACCACAUCCCUUCACCCUCGGUGCCUCGGUCUCCUCAGCUGUAAAGUGGGGGGACAGCAUGGAAGGGACCUCUUGGAUCCUGUGAGGAUUCAGAAGUACGUGCCCUCCCUUAGCACGGACCGGCGCAGAGCGCCUGCUGCUCGGAGCAGCGGGAGGGGGCACCGGUUCUGGGCUCUGCCUGGUGGCCCGUGGCACUGGGCCACCAGUGACAGCAGUGGGCCAGGUAGCCACGGGCUUUGGGCAGCGAGGGUGACCUGGGAAUGCCAGUGAUCUUAGAAGCCCCAGGCACGCUCAGCCAGUCCAUGCAUUGCUCUUCCUGGGCAUGGGGUGGGGACAUUUCGAGGGGUUCAGUCAUGUGCACGGAAUACUGUGUUUUCCCCUCUGCUGCCACUGCUCCCAAGGAGGUCGAGUCGCCCCAGCCCACCCUACUCUGGGCAUCUCUAUCCAGAGCAUGGAGGCCCCUGGGGCAUAGGGGUGCGGGCUGGCCACAGAUGGGUUAACUCCUGGCCUGGCUCCUAGACAGGAUGCUUCCUAGGGCACACAAUGCCCCCUCCACUCCUUGCCUUUCCUUGGUCCCCAGAGCAGCAGGCACCCCUCCCUUCUCACAUCCCCCUCCACUCCCUCUGACCGACCGAAGGGGACAGAGGGCUCCCCCAGGUGGCCAAAUGUGCCAAGGCCAGAAGCUGGGGAGUCUGCAAGGACUGGCUUCAAGCAUCCUGCCCCUUCAGCCCCGUAAAUACGUCUGCAUGGUCAAGACUAGGUGUUCCAAUUUGGGGUUCGGAAAAAUCAGGUCCCCUGUAUGUGUAUUGGUAUCUGUAUGAAACCAGCAAUGUGUGUGAUCCACGUGUUGUGAAGUAUUCCUAGCCAGAUGGUAGGGAAUUGCUUGCAGCCAUUCUGAACACCGGGGGAGGAUUAUCUGCAGGGCCUGGCCUAACACUCUGCCUUGUGUCGUGGGUCACAGGAUGCAGAGGCAUGGGGACAGGAAGCAGAGCGCAGAGGCCCAGCUAGAAGCCAAAAACACACCAGUACCAGUAAUCACCACCAUUUACCACAGGCCUUCUGUGUGUCUGUCACCAUGCCCUGGGCUUUCCUUCCUUCGUUUCCUUUACUUCUCACAACCACCUAGGAAACAGACAUUAUUAUUAUCCUCACUGAGCAGAUGGGGAAACUGAGGCUCAGUGAAGUUAAAUCCCUUGUCUAAAAUCACACAGCUAGGUGAAGACUGAAUUGGAGCUCAGACAUGUCUGACUCCAAAUGCCUUGCUCUUAUGCAAGUCUGCCUAUGCACGGGAAGAUCAUCUGGCAGAGAACUAAGAGAGACAUGAGUAUACUCACGAGACGCUCAUGGGGGAGGCUGGACAACUCCUUCCCACCCCAAGAGCACACACAGCAGGUGCUCAGCAGAAGCAGGUGGAACUACGACGGGUCAGUUACACAGCACAGUGAAUACAUGCAUAUGUACAUACAUACAUACAUGUAUACAUACAUGUGAGAGAAAGGGGAGGUAAACCAGCGGGCCCUCCAAGGUGUGCACACAGGCCGGGGGGCCUGAUACCUGCCCAUGAAUGCAGGCAGGCUCUGGACUUGGGUAUUGGUCCUUCUAGAAUGUGGACACCUGGACACCAUGGAGUGCACUAAGAUCCAGAGGGUUCCAGCGAUGCUGCAGCCUACCCUCGGCUCACUGGCAGGCCGAGGCCCAGUGUUCUCAACCCAGACAGGUUCUGGUGAUAGCCACACACGAGCAGGGACACAUAUAUGAAUGUGGGCUCCAUCACACACGCCCCCCCACACAUACAUCUUCCCAAGACAGAGCCUGCUGCCGCCAUCUGUUCUGUGCAGACACAGUCGAAGUCUUGGGCACAGAGUCCAGCUCACACUGACAAGUACACACACACACACACACACACACACACACACACACACACAUACAUAGAGCUCUCAGAGAGAAGGGAAGAAAGGUCGAGCUGUCUGGGGGGCUGAAAGUCGCUGCAGCCCCAUAGACACUGGGGCCUAAGCCCUGGCAUCAACCCCCUGGGUGGCAGAGUCUGUCCUCAGGGGGCCCCCUCCCACCUUCCCAGGCCGGGAGACUGUCUUCUGCCCUCCCAUUUGAAAGGCUCGGCCCAGGCCUGAAAUGCCCAGGAUGACCACCAGGGGGCGCGUGAGCAUUGAAUAAUCCUUUCAGCCAGGCCUCCUCCCCAAACCCUCCUUCAUUCAUUCUUAAAUAUGUAUAAAGCCCCCCUUCUGUGCCUAUGCUUCUGUGGGACUGGAGGUUACGGGGAAGGCGUUGGUGGGGGUCUGGGUCAGAACUAACAGCUAGAAUGUACUGAGCACCGGCUGUGUUCAAGCUCUUCUAGAUUUUCAUAUGCAUUGACUCACUUAAUCCACAACUGUAUGAACUAGGUACUCCCAUUCUUCUGCUCUUAUUGUGGCUAUUGUGGGUGCAGUAGAGCAGGUAUAAUGACAGUGACUUACCCCACAGAGUUGUUAGAAGAAUUAAAUGGAUCAAUAGGCUUAUGUGCAAACCACUCGGAACACUGCCCAGUUGUCAGCACCAUCCCCAUUUUACAGAUGGGGAAACCAAGGCACAGUUAACAAGGAGUGGCCUCAGGAUUCAAUCCUGAGCAGGCUGUUUCCAGAGUAUGGCCUUACUGAGUUACUAGACCCCCUGGGGUCCAGCAGGUCCAAUCAGGGGGUCCUGGGGGCCAUGGGGGGCCACUGGAGAAUUUUAGCAGGGAAGGGACAAGACCUAGUUUGCAUUUCAUGCUGGCUGUAGGGUGGGCCAGCCUGGUGGCAGGCGGACUGGUCAGUUGGAGGCCGUCACCAUGGUCCCAGCUGUGACAAGGAUGGCAGUGGAGGGGUAGAGGGGAGAAGACAGAUUUGAGAGAUAUUAAGGAAGCAGCCUGAAGGGUCUUGGUGACCAAUUUCAUGCCAGAGCUGGGGGAGGGAAGAGGCAGAAAGCAGUGGAUGGGGAAGAAGACCGGGGAGAGGGUAGGAGCGUGUGGGGCAUCUGAAGGGAGAAAUGUGUGGGUCCCCAACCUGCCCUCUGGCCUUGCCCUGGGGGAGGGCUCCUCACCCUCAUGGCUGAAGAAGAUAAAGGAAAAGCAGCCCCCAGAGCCCUCUGCCCCAUCUUUCCUGGAAAGCCUGGGAACAGAGUGAGGGCUAGGAACCCUAAACUCUGGCUCCCUUCUGUUCACAGCCUAUGGGGCUCUGGGCUCCACAGGCAUGGCACUGUGCUGGUCUGUCCCAUCCCACCCUGCACCCUGGCCCUUGCUCACAGGGCAGGACCUGGGACUCCCACCCACCCUCUCUGGCUGCUUGUCCCCAGCACUGGGACAGAGUGAAAACAUCCCCCUCCCCUCCCAGACACAUGGAGGCUUCAGCCUUACAGAGCUUUCUCCUCUACAGGAUCACACUGAACCCUCACAACGACCUGGGAGUAGCCCUUAUUAUCUUGGAUUCACAACUGAGGGGCCACCUCAGACACAGGUAAAGGGGCCUGCCCUGGGCUACACAGCUUGUGCCUGGACCAGCCUUCUGCCGGGACUUUUGCAUAAAUCAUGGGCUCUUACCCCCUCCACUCCCAGCACCACCAGGCCCUUGGUGGCCAUCUUGGGGAGGUGGAGGCAGCUCUGCCCUGCAGCUUACUUGUCUCUGUGCAGAGCUGAGAAUGGGGCUGAGACUGGGGCAUGGUGUGGAGUCACCAGGGCUCCAGGUAGAGGAACCGGGAGCCGUGGGGAACCAGCUGGGGCACCGGGUCUCCCAAAGGGACCGGGUGGAGUGGGAGGUGCCUAGGGUAGCAAGUGGGGACAAAGAGAGCGCCAGCACACCUGGCAGCCAAGCAGCCAAGGAGCUGAGCCCGCCAGUCCAGAUUCAAAGCCGAGCUGAGGCUGUGAUUGGUGGCCAGGGUCCCUCACUCCACCCCUUCUCUCUCACCUCCCAGGCAGCUGGGAAAGGGGGAUGGAGCUGAGAAGGCCCCUCAUCAUAAAUCCUCAAGCACUGAGGGGUGGCCUGGCUGGCAGUGAACUCAAUUAACUCCCUCUCGUGCCCCAAGCCCUGCCGGGACCCUGUCUGCCGUUCUGGGGCCGCCAUCAGCCCUGAUGGCUCCCCAAGCUGCCAGGCUUGGGUGGCCCAAGCCUCAGGUCACCCAACCACCCCUCCUCUGAGGCGUCCUUCAGCCCGCGGCCUCCUCCGCUCCUUUCCCCCCAGCUCGUCCUCUCGGAGUGUGCCCUGUUCUCUGACCCCUCUCCCCGUCUAGGCUCCCGGAAGGGGCAGCUUCCUGGGCCCUAGCCCCUUUCCAUUUGGGCACCCUGGCCCUCCCGUGCCCGGAAACUCUGCUCUCCAGGCCUCCCCACGGGGCGGCGGCCGAGGCCUCUCUGCCCGGGCCCCGGGGGACCCUGCGCGCAGCUGGGCCGCGGCGGCGGUGGGGCCGCUGGGUGCACAGGUUGCCGGGCUCCGCGGAGGGCUGGCCGAGGGGGCUGGGCAGGAACCCGGCUCCGUCCGGCGCCCCGCCCCCGGCGCAGAUGGCGCGGCCGCGGGCGGGUCCCGGCCGCCGGUUUGGGCUCGGGUUUCGGCCGCGAGGGGCGGGGCGGGCUCGAGGGGCCUGCUGAGGCCGCGGCCAAUCAGCGCCCGGCCGGACUCCCCAGCCGCCAAUCCCGGCCUGGCCCGGCCGCCCCCGCCCCACCGCGUCCUUUGUUCCCGCUCUCCCUGGCGGCCCCCGGCGCGGCCCUCGCGGCCUUGGCCCUGCGACUUCCGGCGCACGCGGACCGGGCUGUGUGCACGCCCCCGUGUACUCGGUGGAUGCGAGGACCAACAAGGCAGCAUGUGGAGAGCCUUGGUUUGGUGUGAUUUCCUUGUGCUGAGCCCUUUCCUGGCUGAGCCUUUGGGACAGCGUUUGGACCCCAGCAGAGAGCCAGGCAGAGACAGGUGCUCAGAAGGUGGUGGUGAUGAAUGAACGCCCUUCUCCCAGCAAAUGUGACUUCUCUGCAUCCAUUCAUGUGACUCACGUCUUCUUAGAUCUCUCUGGCUUAAAAACUGUCCUACUGCAGCUACAGAGUGGAAAGCGCCCACAUUUUGUGGCCAGAAGACCUGAAUUCCAGACCCGGCCUGUUGUCUAGAUCGCGUCUCUGAGCCAACAGGUCCUCAUGGUCACGUGGGGCUGAUUCCCCUCCCCCAGGCUGGCUCGGAGGAUUAAAGGCAUUUAUCUUGUGCAGGGGACACAGGGCACAGAGAUACCACCCAAAUGGCAGCCACAAGAGGACUCCGCUCAAAGUGCUCUUCCUUGGGGGCCUCCCUAGCACAUGUGUGCAAUUUCCCCUGUAUUGUUCUCUAAUCCUUGAUGGUUACUCUGUAAUUGCUCUCAAAUGGUUUCAUCAUAAUAAAUAGCAUCUGCAGAGCCGUUUACGAACUGUACCUUUUUCCUCAUCCCUUUCCCACCUUUACAAAAAGAAACUGAGGCUCAGAGAAGUGAAUUGAUUUCUCUAAGACCACACAGUGAGGAGGAGGCGAGCUCACCCCUCCUUGGCCCGUGGGGCCUGCAGGCCCCCAGCCCACUGUGUCCCCAGUUCCAGGCAGGGGAGGGAGGGACAGAGAGGGAGCUUGGCAGGAGUCCAGGGGCUACCUGGGGUCUGAUGGCUGAGGGAGGAGACGGGCAGUUCACUCGGCCCCAGGCAGGCUGGGUGCAUGGGCGUCCAUGCAGAAUCAUGCACUCACCUGUGUGUGCAGGUGUGCAGGCUGAGACCAGGUGACCCCCAAGGGGGCUUAUAGAGGGAUCACGCCUCUGGGGUGGGAUGUGGGACUAGGUUGGCU